CACUCCUACGGGAGGCAGCAGUGGGGAAUAUUGGACAAUGGGCGCAAGCCUGAUCCAGCCAUGCCGCGUGAGUGAUGAAGGCCCUAGGGUUGUAAAGCUCUUUCACCGGUGAAGAUAAUGACGGUAACCGGAGAAGAAGCCCCGGCUAACUUCGUGCCAGCAGCCGCGGUAAUACGAAGGGGGCUAGCGUUGUUCGGAUUUACUGGGCGUAAAGCGCACGUAGGCGGACUAUUAAGUCAGGGGUGAAAUCCCGGGGCUCAACCCCGGAACUGCCUUUGAUACUGGUAGUCUUGAGUUCGAGAGAGGUGAGUGGAAUUCCGAGUGUAGAGGUGAAAUUCGUAGAUAUUCGGAGGAACACCAGUGGCGAAGGCGGCUCACUGGCUCGAUACUGACGCUGAGGUGCGAAAGCGUGGGGAGCAAACAGGAUUAGAUACCCCAGUAGUCCCAUGA
This 450-nucleotide ribosomal RNA is filed under the name uncultured organism. RNAcentral describes it as "partial 16S ribosomal RNA". It matches the Rfam family "Bacterial small subunit ribosomal RNA", at positions 334 to 800 of the family's 1533-position model. The record is from RNAcentral.